CAUAUCUAACGGAGAUUCGUCGAAGCUGGAUAUGACUUAGUGGCGGACGGGUGAGUAAUGUAUGAGCAACCUGCCUUUCAGAGGGGGACAACAGUUGGAAACGACUGCUAAUACCGCAUAACGUAUUUGGGUGGCAUCACCUGGAUACCAAAGGAGCAAUCCGCUAGAAAGAUGGGCUCAUAUCUGAUUAGCUUGUUGGCGGGGUAACGGCCCACCAAGGCGACGAUCAGUAGCCGGACUGAGAGGUUGAACGGCCACAUUGGGACUGAGAUACGGCCCAGACUCCUACGGGAGGCAGCAGUGGGGAAUAUUGGGCAAUGGGCGAAAAACGCCUGACCCAGCAACGCCGCGUGAAGGAAGAAGGUCUUCGGAUUGUAAACUUCUUUUAUGAGGGACGAAGGACGUGACGGUACCUCAUGAAUAAGCCACGGCUAACUACGUGCCAGCCGCCGC
RNAcentral lists this ribosomal RNA (453 nucleotides) under uncultured bacterium. RNAcentral describes it as "bacterial SSU rRNA". It matches the Rfam family "Bacterial small subunit ribosomal RNA", at positions 58 to 518 of the family's 1533-position model. The record is from RNAcentral.